This 416-nucleotide ribosomal RNA is filed under the name uncultured bacterium. Its description in RNAcentral is "bacterial SSU rRNA". It matches the Rfam family "Bacterial small subunit ribosomal RNA", at positions 1001 to 1414 of the family's 1533-position model. The record is from RNAcentral.
CCGAAAGGCAGGAGUGCCUGCAAGGGAGCGCGGAGACAGGUGGUGCAUGGCUGUCGUCAGCUCGUGUCGUGAGAUGUUGGGUUAAGUCCCGCAACGAGCGCAACCCUCACCUCUUGUUGCCAUCAGGUCAUGCUGGGCACUCUAGAGGAACUGCCCCGGUCAACGGGGAGGAAGGCGGGGAUGACGUCAAGUCAUCAUGCCCCUUACGUCCUGGGCUACACACGUGCUACAAUGGCCGGUACAAAGGGAUGCCACACCGCGAGGUAGAGCUAAACCCAAAAAGCCGGUCUAAGUUCGGAUUGGAGUCUGCAACUCGACUCCAUGAAGGAGGAAUCGCUAGUAAUCGCGUAUCAGCACGACGCGGUGAAUACGUUCCCGGGCAUUGUACACACCGCCCGUCACACCACGAAAGCCAG